UACAGAGGGUGCAAGCGUUGUUCGGAAUUACUGGGCGUAAAGCGCGUGUAGGCUGCGGAGUAAGUCGGAUGUGAAAUCCCUUGGCUUAACCAAGGAAGUGCAUCCGAUACUGUUUCGCUUGAGUGUCGGAGGGGAUGGCGGAAUUCCCGGUGUAGAGGUGAAAUUCGUAGAUAUCGGGAGGAACACCUGUGGCGAAGGCGGCCAUCUAGACGACAACUGACGCUGAGACGCGAAAGCGUGGGUAGCAAACAGG
This 253-nucleotide ribosomal RNA is filed under the name uncultured bacterium. Its description in RNAcentral is "partial 16S ribosomal RNA". It matches the Rfam family "Bacterial small subunit ribosomal RNA", at positions 524 to 776 of the family's 1533-position model. The record is from RNAcentral.